Molecule: small nucleolar RNA, 77 nt
Filed under: Rhinolophus ferrumequinum (greater horseshoe bat)
Lineage: Eukaryota; Metazoa; Chordata; Mammalia; Chiroptera; Rhinolophidae
Description: Small nucleolar RNA SNORD113/SNORD114 family (ENSRFEG00010005193.1)
Rfam family: Small nucleolar RNA SNORD113/SNORD114 family
About the family: The imprinted human domain at 14q32 contains two clusters of tandemly repeated small nucleolar RNAs named 14q(I) and 14q(II) snoRNAs. These two clusters are named SNORD113 and SNORD114 respectively in the HGNC approved gene symbol nomenclature.
Source: Rfam by way of RNAcentral
UGGGUCAGUGAUGAGUAUGCGUGGGGCAUCUGAAUAAAAUAUUUUUAUUAAACUCAGUCUAUAAAUCUGAGGUCUAU